Molecule: long non-coding RNA, 3044 nt
Filed under: Sus scrofa (pig)
Lineage: Eukaryota; Metazoa; Chordata; Mammalia; Artiodactyla; Suidae
Description: lncRNA (ENSSSCG00025021410.1)
Source: RNAcentral
GUGGUAUUGCUCAAACUAAAAUGAAAGUAAGAAAACGUAACAAAAGCACAUUUGUCACUGCAAUGCACUGCACACAAUUGAGUAAUUAUUUCAUUGGGACUAAAAGGGAAAAUGCUGGAUGUAUGAGAGCAAGUUAGAGGCACUAGGGAGUGAGAGCCCAGACUAGCGACAAAGGAGGGACAAGGGUCACAGGGAAGACUUGGUGGCACCACAGGGGGAAGGGCAGGGUUCAGCUGACAGCUUUUCCAGGUCCAGCUGGCUAGGGACAUGAUCAUUUUCUUGAGAGAAACAGGCACCUCAAGAGAGGAAGUGGUUUUUUGGAAAGGUAACUCUUUAAGAAAAAGGCACAUUGCACUUGAGGAGAUGGUACUGAGGCAUCUGGGUGUGUGGAGCCAGUAGGUGGCUAGGAAAUGCCAUACAGGGUGUCUUGCCUUGCUGCUUCAUGCCUUUUUGGUUCACCUUUCCUUUUAUUUUCUGUAAGGUUUUUCUUUUUUUUCCUUCUUUCCUUCCUUCCUUCCAUCCUUCAUCUGCGCUCAUGGCAUGUGGAAGUUCUCAGGCUAGGGGUCGAAUCGAGAGCUGCAGCUGCCAGCCUACGCCACAGCCACACCAGAUCCAAGCCGUGUCUGCAACCUACACCAUAGCUCAUGGAAACGCCAGAUCCUUAACCUACUGAGCAAGGCCGGGCAUCGAAUCUGUGUCCUCAUGGUUACUAAUCAGGUUUGUUCCCACUGUGCCACAAUGGGAACUCCUAUUUUCUGUAAGGUUGAAACAUAGCACCGCCUGGGAAAUGUCUGUCGGCCAGCACAGUUGCAUUUUAGGAAAUGGAGCCCCAGGGCCUUCAGGAGGGGUCACGCCCAUCCUUGUUCACCACACUUUUUGUGGGUCUCUCUUAUCCUUUCCUCUGUUACUGCUGCUUCACAGACUGAGGUUUUUUGGUCAGCCCUGAAAGUAUGGGUGUUUAUGAAGCGAGCUUCAAAGUCAGACUGGACAGCUUGGCCUAAGAUCGAGAAUGGUGAGGCAGGCGUAAGCAAGUGGGUCAGAGCCACUUCAGACCCUGUCACAGGGAGCCUCUGUGGAGCAGAGGAAUGAUCCUUGUGGGCAGGUGCGAUUGGACUUGAGCUUUCUUUCUCUACUAUGGAGGACUGCAGAAUUUGGGGCAAGUUGCCUAACUUGUGUGAAACCCAGUUCCUCACCACUAAGGUAUGCUCCUUCAAGGUUCCCAUGGAAACAGAAUCUCAUGUGAGCAUCCGUAGCACUGUGUAUGGACUGGUCCACUCUCAGCAAAUGUGGGCACAUCUCUUUGGUUGAUUUUGAUGGGAAUAUGGGGUUGAGAAUUUAAAAUAAUAAAAUAACUCAGGUAGGACUGUCAGGGUUUUGACAAGCUCUCUUGCCUAUAUGUUUUUGUUUUUAAUGCAAACUGUUUAUAUGUAUUCACCUCUCCUGAGAUUCCAUUUAGAAGCUGUGUAGCAUAAACUUACUCAGUAAUACUCACCAUGCUUUUAUCAAUCUAGACCAAACACCAUUAGGAUAUUUCAAAGGAAGGAAGCUUGUACAUGGUCUUAGAGCUCUUUUUGACAGUGUAAAUAAUUUACGAGCAUCAUUCAGCCCCCUUGGGUCUUGUAUGACGCAAUUAAACCCACUUGCCAGGACUUAGAAAUCCUCUACUUCCAGCCCAACCCUCACUCUACCCCAGGAGUUCUCUUCAAAGGUUCCUCGGCCAAGGAGGAGGACCUAGAUACCUGUUUUCCUUUGCAUGUAUGUAUUUUUGGGAGAAGGGGAGCAGGGCAGACACAUUUUGGCUAAACAAAGAUGGCCAAGGAGUGUCCGUUUUCCAAAUAAUUGUUUCUCAAGGGUAAGUCAGUGAAAAAGAGACUAUUGGGUGCUUCUUCCAGCUGCUGGUUUUGUUGGGGUGAAGGGGGAGAGGGAGCAGUAGGGGUGUAGAGACUAAAAGAGGGUAGUUUAUGGAGGCUUCCCACUAACAAAAAAAGCCGUAUAGACAAAGUGGGGCCUUUCCUGCCAGCUAUGUUGUAAGUUGAGUUUAUCUGGCUUUUUCUGAAGCCUUCCAUUAGACCUUUGUUGAUGAAGCCUAUCUCAGUUCCCAAGGUCACUUUGUCUUGAGGCAACUUUCACCUUUACCACUGGGAGUUACCUUCCCCUACCCAUUUCUGUAUAAUGUAGUUUCUUGUUUUUUGUUCGUUUGUUUUUUUAGGGCUGCACCUGCCACAUAUGGUUAUUCCCAGGCCAGGGGUCAAAUCAGAGCUGCAGCCCCCAGUCCACGCCACGGCCAUAGCAACGCCAGAUCUGAACUGCAUCUGUGACCUACACCACAGCUCACAGCCACGCCAGAUCCUCAACCCACUGAGCGAGGCCCAUAUCGAACCUGCAUCCUCAUGGAUACCAGUCAGUUUUGUUUCCACUGAGCCGUGGUGGGAACUCCUAAUGUAGUUUCUUAAGAAUUCUUAAAGGUAGUAUACUUAAUAAUUCCCUGGGAAGCUUUGGAAAAAGCAGGAUAUAGGACCUAACUCUGGAGAUUUUGACUUAAUAGGUCUAGGAUAGAGCCUGAUUCUGAUGGAUGCAUUCUAGGGCAGUGGUUCUGAAGCCUUCCUCCACCCAGGAAUAACCUAAGAGCUUUAAAAAAAGUAUCAGUGCCUGCCCCUAUCCUUAUUAUAAUUUAAUUACUUAGCGUAACAAUCGGAACACAUAGACACCUAGUCAUAAUGCAGCAGGAGGCACCCAGAUCAAUGUAUUUCAAACUAAGAUUUUGGUGCCUGGUCUCUAAAACUGUCUCAUUAAUUUUUUCUUCUUCAUUAUAUUUAAUUUCCAUUUUAUACCAGAUCUUCAUGUCUCUGAUAGAGGGAAUUUUGAUUUGUGAGCUUUCUUCAUCAUUUCUCUUAAUUCAUUGUCCCAGGUUCAGUUGUGCAAGUUCACAGCAUCUCCUGUGGUGUGUCCUUCAUCUGGCUGACCACCAGGGGGCAGGCACACUCAGUCAAAUACUUGGGCUAUUUCCUUCAGUUGGUGCACCUUAUAGCCGGUAGAGAAAAAAA